This is a long non-coding RNA of Cavia porcellus (domestic guinea pig), 331 nucleotides long. RefSeq lists it as uncharacterized. The transcript is spliced from 3 exons. The record is from RefSeq and is a predicted model, not a curated record. Lineage: Eukaryota; Metazoa; Chordata; Mammalia; Rodentia; Caviidae.
GGGUUCUCCUAAAUGUUGCUGUUUCGAGCCAUUGGUUCUCCUGGAGGAGCUCAUCAUGGCUAGCUUCCCCAAUAUGAGUUCGGCCAUUACCAUCAGAGGAAUUCAGGACCUUAUUGGUUAUACAUUUCUCAAGGGAUGGCCAAUACAUUUUGUUUUCAUCUGUUGAUUAUUCCUCUGAAACCAAAACAAGUCUUGGAUACAGCAGGUUGUCUCUUCAUUAAAUUGACUGUUUCCUUUGAUGUGGAGAAGAUUCUCAGCUUUAAAUAAUCCCAUUUGUCAAAAUUUACUUUUGUUAACUGUAUUUUGUCACAUUAAAAUUUUUGAACUCGAA